Molecule: long non-coding RNA, 174 nt
Organism: Sinocyclocheilus grahami
Lineage: Eukaryota; Metazoa; Chordata; Actinopteri; Cypriniformes; Cyprinidae
Exons: 3
Source: RefSeq, a predicted model, not a curated record
AGGCCAUCAAAGACCUCUUCAACAUGAAACCAGAGUGGGAAAAUCUAAACCAGUCCAACGUGAGGCGCAUGCACACUGCACUCAGAAUCAACGAAGUCAUUGUUAAGAAAUCCCAGGAGGCCAAACUAGUCCUGCUCAACAUGCCCGGACCGCCCAAAAACAGGAGCGGCGACG